Molecule: non-coding RNA, 104 nt
Organism: Stereum hirsutum FP-91666 SS1
Lineage: Eukaryota; Fungi; Basidiomycota; Agaricomycetes; Russulales; Stereaceae
Source: the annotation of a RefSeq genome assembly
GGACGUGUGGUGUACUUGGUUAACACAUUCGCCCAAUAUGAGGACCCAAUCCAUAGCGCCCGCAUGAUGUGCGAAAGUAUCCGGUUCGAUUCCGGGCAUGUCCU